CGAAGUAGGAUAUGGCGCGUCAAGUGGUCAGCGGCUGGGGAGUUGCCCUGACACGAAGAACAGAUAUACAGUUCGCGAUGCCUGUCCGCACCCGUUG
RNAcentral lists this non-coding RNA (97 nucleotides) under bovine gut metagenome. RNAcentral's name for it is "THF riboswitch". It matches the Rfam family "THF (Tetrahydrofolate) riboswitch aptamer". Rfam says of the family: THF riboswitch presents a pseudoknot that joins P1-P2 and the loop of P3 and two THF binding. The record is from RNAcentral.